Molecule: long non-coding RNA, 595 nt
Organism: Marmota flaviventris (yellow-bellied marmot)
Lineage: Eukaryota; Metazoa; Chordata; Mammalia; Rodentia; Sciuridae
Source: RefSeq, a predicted model, not a curated record
AAAAAGUCUUAUUUUCUUUCCUCUUUAAGUUCCCCUUCCUGCUUCUGAUUCUGCCAUCCCCAGGUUCCUACAUGAUUUCUGGGGCAGGCGCCCACACCCUGGGCCUCUGAAGCAAGCAUGCUGAGCGUGGAGAGGCCCUGGCCUUACCUCUGAGGGAAGGAGGAUGCCCGGCCUGGAGAGUGAGUGGAGACUCAAGUGCCAUCUCUCAGACUGGAGUGCAAUCCCAUGUAGGCCACUUCCCAAAGCGUGCCCUGUGGACAGGCGGCUGCAUCUCCCUGAGAUGAGGAAACCCAGGCUCAGAGAGAGGACAUGACUUGUUCCCAGUCAAGUGGCUGGCAAACGGCAAAGCUGGGGUCUGAAGCUGGGUCCGAGUGACUUCUCAGGCGGCUCCUACCAGGUCCGGUGCCAGCCCCUGCAGAGCAUAAACGGGAUGCCAGCAGAGGGAAACAGGAGCUUCAUCAGGAACCUCAAAUCGGGGGCGGAUGUUUGCAGAUAGGUGUGGCCUUCCCCACUCGGGAUCGUCCCUAGUUCUUCCCAUCGCCUUUCAUUACCAGGAUCCCGCCCUGGGAAGGGAGUCUCCCCGUUCACCCUCUAA